RNAcentral lists this ribosomal RNA (287 nucleotides) under uncultured bacterium. RNAcentral's name for it is "partial 16S ribosomal RNA". It matches the Rfam family "Bacterial small subunit ribosomal RNA", at positions 44 to 335 of the family's 1533-position model. The record is from RNAcentral.
GUGCUUUACACAUGCAAGUCGAGCGAGGCGCGGGGGCAACCCCGCAGUCGAGCGGCGAACGGGUGAGUAACGCGUGGAUAACCUGCCCUGAGGCGGGGAACAACCGAGGGAAACUUCGGCUAAUACCGCAUGAUACCGAGAGGUCAAAGGGGGCUCGCAAGGGCUCUCGCCACAGGAGGGGUCCGCGUCCGAUUAGCUUGUUGGUGAGGUAAUGGCUCACCAAGGCGACGAUCGGUAGCCGGCCUGAGAGGGUGAUCGGCCACACUGGAACUGAGACACGGUCCAGA